GGGUGCGAUCCUACCAGCACUAAUGCACCGGAUACCAUCAGAACUCCGCAGUUAAGCGUGCUUGGGCGAGAGUAGUA
Molecule: ribosomal RNA, 77 nt
Filed under: Gossypium raimondii (Peruvian cotton)
Lineage: Eukaryota; Viridiplantae; Streptophyta; Magnoliopsida; Malvales; Malvaceae
Source: RNAcentral